CUACGGGUGGCAGCAGUGGGGAAUCUUAGACAAUGGGGGAAACCCUGAUCUAGCCAUGCCGCGUGAUCGAUGAAGGCCUUAGGGUUGUAAAGAUCUUUCAGGUGGGAAGAUAAUGACUGUACCACCAGAAGAAGCCCCGGCUAACUCCGUGCCAGCAGCCGCGGUAAUACGGAGGGGGCUAACGUUAUUCGGAAUUACUGGGCGUAAAGCGCACGUAGGCGGACUGGAAAGUCAGAGGUGAAAUCCCAGGGCUCAACCUUGGAACUGCCUUUGAAACUCUCAGUCUUGAGGUCGAGAGAGGUGAGUGGAAUUCCGAGUGUAGAGGUGAAAUUCGUAGAUAUUCGGAGGAACACCAGUGGCGAAGGCGGCUCACUGGCUCGAUACUGACGCUGAGGUGCGAAAGCGUGGGGAGCAAACAGGAUUAGAUACCCCGGUAGUC
This 439-nucleotide ribosomal RNA is filed under the name uncultured bacterium. Its description in RNAcentral is "partial 16S ribosomal RNA". It matches the Rfam family "Bacterial small subunit ribosomal RNA", at positions 339 to 795 of the family's 1533-position model. The record is from RNAcentral.